GUUCGGCAGCUAAUUAAGUCAAAGAGCAGCAUUCAACGACCAGAUGCAGCCCUAUGGUAACUCUUGAAGCUCGAUGAUCAAGAGCUCCUCCAUUGAAGUAUAGGAUUGUAUUGUAGGCCUACCGAGAAAGCUCAUGCCACAUCGGUCUUCCAUCCAGAGAUACGCCAAGAUCGAGACGUGUUCAUGUCGAAUUGUUUUCAGAAGUCGCUUGGCGAGGCCAAGCCUUGACUUUAACCGAGGGACAGUCUAUACAAUUCCGUUGAGCCAUUUGGAUGUAAUGCCCGAGUUCCUUGUUCGGGGUUUGAAUCUGGUUCUAGUACAAAUCUAGCCUCAUAAAAAGUACCUGAAAUCCAAUAAAAAAAAUCUGAUCCGUUAACCCGACAAUAUGUCUUUUUUUAUCCGAGCUCACGGGUGUUUAAAGUUAAUUCAUCUGCAUUUUUUAUUA
Molecule: non-coding RNA, 445 nt
Organism: Musa acuminata subsp. malaccensis (wild Malaysian banana)
Lineage: Eukaryota; Viridiplantae; Streptophyta; Magnoliopsida; Zingiberales; Musaceae
Source: RefSeq, a predicted model, not a curated record